This is a long non-coding RNA of Oreochromis aureus, 370 nucleotides long. RefSeq lists it as uncharacterized. The record is from RefSeq and is a predicted model, not a curated record. NCBI's taxonomy places the organism in Eukaryota, Metazoa, Chordata, Actinopteri, Cichliformes, Cichlidae. The transcript is spliced from 2 exons.
AACUACUCCCUGUCAAAUGACUCAAGCCAGCUGAUUUGAGGCCCCUCUCCUGAUUGGCUCCUUCCACGUCGCGGCAACUAUGAAUACGGCCGUGGAGGGAUACUUCCGGGUUCGACUCCUGCUGUGGCUGUAAGCUUAUGUCGUGUGGAACCGCGUUGGAAAACAAAGCGUUUUCUCCCCUAAAUUCGUUUAUAAAGUUGUAUCACCUCAGCGGUCAGGUUUUUUUUCCCUUUAAAUUGAUCUUCUUCAUAUUGAAGUGGCGAGCCGGUAGGACCAUUCUUUGUUUUGUUUUUUUUCCCCCGCUUUGCCGUCUAUGGAUUACGGACAUAUUUUUUUUCCCCAUUGUAUGAAACUGGACCCUAAGGAGGAA